This 444-nucleotide ribosomal RNA is filed under the name Clostridioides difficile. RNAcentral's name for it is "bacterial LSU rRNA". It matches the Rfam family "Bacterial large subunit ribosomal RNA", at positions 1845 to 2287 of the family's 2925-position model. The record is from RNAcentral. Lineage: Bacteria; Bacillati; Bacillota; Clostridia; Peptostreptococcales; Peptostreptococcaceae.
AUAGGAGCUGACGCCGGCCCGGUGCUGGAAGGUGAAGGGGAUCUGUUAGAGCAAGCGAAGCAGUGAACUUAAGCCCCAGUAACCGACGGCCGUAACAAUAACGGGCCUAAGGUAACGAAAAGCCAGGUCGAGUAAGUUGCGACCCGAACGAAAGGCGUAACGAUUUGGGCACUGUAUCAACAACAGACUCGGUGAAAUUGUAAUGCCGGUGAAGAUGCCGGAUACCUGCGACAGGACGGAAAGACCACAUGGAGCUUUACUGUAGCUUGACAUUGGGUCUUGGUACUACAUGUACAGGAUCGGUGGGGGGCUUUGAAACCAGGCGGCCAGUUUUGGGGGAGCCAUCCUUGGGAUACCACGAUUGUAGUACUGGGACUCUAACCCUGGACCAUGACUCUGGUGUAGGGACCCUGUCAGGGGGGCAGUUUGACUGGGGCGGUCGCC